This 713-nucleotide ribosomal RNA is filed under the name gamma proteobacterium IMCC14753. RNAcentral's name for it is "bacterial SSU rRNA". It matches the Rfam family "Bacterial small subunit ribosomal RNA", at positions 39 to 743 of the family's 1533-position model. Lineage: Bacteria; Pseudomonadati; Pseudomonadota; Gammaproteobacteria. The record is from RNAcentral.
GCGGUAGGCUUAACACAUGCAAGUCGAACGGUAACAUAGCUAGCUUGCUAGCUGAUGACGAGUGGCGGACGGGUGAGUAACGCGUAGGAAUCUACCUAUUAGUGGGGGACAACCUGGUGAAAACCAGGCUAAUACCGCAUACGCCCUACGGGGGAAAGCAGGGGAUCUUCGGACCUUGCGCUAUUAGAUGAGCCUGCGUUAGAUUAGCUUGUUGGUGAGGUAAUGGCUCACCAAGGCGACGAUCUAUAGCUGGUCUGAGAGGAUGAUCAGCCACACUGGGACUGAGACACGGCCCAGACUCCUACGGGAGGCAGCAGUGGGGAAUAUUGCGCAAUGGGCGAAAGCCUGACGCAGCCAUACCGCGUGUGUGAAGAAGGGUUUAGGCUCGUAAAGCACUUUAAGUAGGGAGGAAGGCCUGUAAAUUAAUACUUUGCAGGAUUGACGUUACCUACAGAAUAAGCACCGGCUAACUCCGUGCCAGCAGCCGCGGUAAUACGGAGGGUGCAAGCGUUAAUCGGAAUUACUGGGCGUAAAGCGCGCGUAGGCGGUUUGUUAAGCGAGAUGUGAAAGCCCAGGGCUCAACCUUGGAACUGCAUUUCGAACUGGCAGGCUAGAGUACAAGAGAGGGUGGUAGAAUUUCCUGUGUAGCGGUGAAAUGCGUAGAUAUAGGAAGGAAUACCAGUGGCGAAGGCGGCCACCUGGCUUGAUACUGA